Molecule: ribosomal RNA, 526 nt
Filed under: uncultured bacterium
Lineage: Bacteria
Description: bacterial SSU rRNA
Rfam family: Bacterial small subunit ribosomal RNA
Source: RNAcentral
GACGAACGCUGGCGGCGUGCCUAAUACAUGCAAGUCGAACGCUGAUUUUUUAACUGAUGCUUGCAUCGACCAAAAAAUCGGAGUGGCGAACGGGUGAGUAACACGUGGGUAACCUGCCUAUCAGAGGGGGAUAACACUUGGAAACAGGUGCUAAUACCGCAUAACAAUAUCAAUCGCAUGAUAGAUAUUUGAAAGGCGCUUAUGGUGUCACUGAUAGAUGGACCCGCGGCGUAUUAACUAGUUGGUAAGGUAACGGCUUACCAAGGUGAUGAUACGUAGCCGAACUGAGAGGUUGAUCGGCCACAAUGGGACUGAGACACGGCCCAUACUCCUACGGGAGGCAGCAGUAGGGAAUCUUCCACAAUGGGCGCAAGCCUGAUGGAGCAACGCCGCGUGAAUGAAGAAGGUCUUCGGAUCGUAAAGUUCUGUUAUUAGAGAAGAACACGUGUAAGAGUAACUGAUUAUGCGUUGACGGUAUCUAAUCAGCAAGUCACGGCUAACUACGUGCCAGCCGCCGCAGUAAAAC